Molecule: long non-coding RNA, 1225 nt
Organism: Benincasa hispida (wax gourd)
Lineage: Eukaryota; Viridiplantae; Streptophyta; Magnoliopsida; Cucurbitales; Cucurbitaceae
Source: RefSeq, a predicted model, not a curated record
AGGAAGGAAAAAAUUAAAAGCGAGAGUCAAGGCCCGCAACUCUUGGACUUUCCAUCUUCUUCCCUCUGUUCUCAUGUUGAACACAAUAGAGAGAAAAAGAAAACAACGCUGCAUUUUGGGCACCCACGCGCAACCAUCUAGUCGCUUCACGUUAGCAGUUAUCGGCGUCGUUCAUGCCGAAUCUGGGUCAUCAUCGUCUAGCAUUGUUUCCGUGAGUGUGGUUUCGAUUUUGUUUUUAGCCACCACACCUAGUCGAGACCAUCUGUUAUCGUCGUCACUGCUGUGACCUUUGGGUUUUCUAAAAUUUUAGAUUUGGGUUUGGGAGCGUUAUUGAUCACUGUCCAACAAGUUCGGGUUUGGUUCCAACAAGAUUUUGGUAAGUUUUAGGCAAGUUUUCUUGUGAACCUUGGUUACCCAUUCAAUUUUAGUUUGGAUUUUAGCUUUACCCGUAGAUUUGGGAUUCUAAUUGUUAAGUAUUGGUAGGUGGCUUAGCCUCGCCAUGAUUUGGAAAUUGGAAGUGAUUUUGAGAUUUCAAGCCACACUUUGGGUAAGGUUAAUUUGGAUUAAAUUUUAGUUAGUAUGGUGAUUGGUUACGACCUAAAUUUGGGUAAAAUCAUUUGGAAUGGUUUGGGUAAAUUAAUGCAUGAAACUAGGCUCAUAGAUCUAAUUUAACUUUUGGAUCAUGGCCUAGAUUUGAGUUCAAGGUUGUGAAGUUAGAUAGAGAAGGUUAUUGUCUGCAGAAUUAUUAUUUCGGCUUAAUAUCAAGGUAAAUGACUUUACUAUUGGAAUGCCUUUGUGCCAGCAACAUUAGUUCCUCAGUUUCAGUUUGGAUUAAGUGAAUGUAGAAGUAUGUUUUAGAUCUUAAGAAUAUGUUAUAUGUAUGAAUGGUUCUGUUAUGCACAUGCUAGGACGGUGAGAUUGUGGUAAUGAUUAUGUUGUGGGACCCGUAGAUAAAUACUAUAUGGUUCAUGUUCAGUGGGUGGCAAUUGCCUUCUAACACUAGCCAUGUUUUUGUGAUCCUUCGGGCUCACUACCAUGUUCAGCACCAUGAUCCUUCGAGUUCACUACCAUGUACAACACCGUUAUCCUUCGGGUUCACUAAUAUAUUCAGCACUGUGAUCCUUUGGAUUCACUACCAUGUUUAGCUCCAAGAAUCAAUGCAUUUCCUACCAUGUUGUGUGCCUUUGAGCCACCAGAUAUAUGCUAGAAUGGGUUAAAUUGUUCA